RNAcentral lists this ribosomal RNA (565 nucleotides) under uncultured Lachnospiraceae bacterium. RNAcentral's name for it is "bacterial SSU rRNA". It matches the Rfam family "Bacterial small subunit ribosomal RNA", at positions 153 to 735 of the family's 1533-position model. Lineage: Bacteria; Bacillati; Bacillota; Clostridia; Lachnospirales; Lachnospiraceae. The record is from RNAcentral.
GAAACGACUGCUAAUACCGCAUAAGCGCACAGGAUUGCAUGAUCCGGUGUGAAAAACUCCGGUGGUAUGGGAUGGACCCGCGUCUGAUUAGCCAGUUGGCAGGGUAACGGCCUACCAAAGCGACGAUCAGUAGCCGACCUGAGAGGGUGACCGGCCACAUUGGGACUGAGACACGGCCCAAACUCCUACGGGAGGCAGCAGUGGGGAAUAUUGCACAAUGGGGGAAACCCUGAUGCAGCGACGCCGCGUGAGCGAAGAAGUAUUUCGGUAUGUAAAGCUCUAUCAGCAGGGAAGAAGAAUGACGGUACCUGACUAAGAAGCACCGGCUAAAUACGUGCCAGCAGCCGCGGUAAUACGUAUGGUGCAAGCGUUAUCCGGAUUUACUGGGUGUAAAGGGAGCGCAGGCGGUGCGGCAAGUCUGAUGUGAAAGCCCGGGGCUCAACCCCGGUACUGCAUUGGAAACUGUCGUACUAGAGUGUCGGAGGGGUAAGUGGAAUUCCUAGUGUAGCGGUGAAAUGCGUAGAUAUUAGGAGGAACACCAGUGGCGAAGGCGGCUUACUGGACG